GAUGAACGCUGGCGGCGUGCCUAAUACAUGCAAGUCGAGCGAACGGACGCUACUCUUGCUUCUCUGAUGUUAGCGGCGGACGGGUGAGUCACACGUGUAUACCCUCCCUAUCUGACUGAUAUAACUUCGGAAAACCGGCUCUAAUCCCGGAUGAUCUUUUGCACCGCAUUGUUCAAAAGUAAAUUACGGUCUUUCUGUCUCUUCUCGAUGGAUCCGCGCUGCAUUAGCUAGUUGUUACGUUAACGGCUUACCAAGGCAACGAUGCAUAGACGACCUGAGAGGGUGAUAGGCGACACGGGAACGGAGACAGGGUCCAGACGCCUACGGGAGGGAGCAGUAGGGAAUCUUCCGCAAUGGGCGAAAGACUGACGGAGAAAGGCCGCGUGAGUGAUGAAGGUGUUCGGAUCGUAAAAAUCUGUUAUUAGGGAAGAACAGAUGUGGAAGUAAAUGUGCACAGAUUGACGGUACCUAAUCAGAAAGCCACGGCUAACUACGUG
RNAcentral lists this ribosomal RNA (497 nucleotides) under uncultured bacterium. Its description in RNAcentral is "partial 16S ribosomal RNA". It matches the Rfam family "Bacterial small subunit ribosomal RNA", at positions 28 to 507 of the family's 1533-position model. The record is from RNAcentral.